RNAcentral lists this ribosomal RNA (1470 nucleotides) under Psychrobacter fozii. RNAcentral describes it as "bacterial SSU rRNA". It matches the Rfam family "Bacterial small subunit ribosomal RNA". The record is from RNAcentral. Lineage: Bacteria; Pseudomonadati; Pseudomonadota; Gammaproteobacteria; Moraxellales; Moraxellaceae.
CCCCCGCUCAGAUUGAACGCUGGCGGCAGGCUUAACACAUGCAAGUCGAGCGGAAACGAUGAUAGCUUGCUAUCAGGCGUCGAGCGGCGGACGGGUGAGUAAUACUUAGGAAUCUACCUAGUAGUGGGGGAUAGCACGGGGAAACUCGUAUUAAUACCGCAUACGACCUACGGGAGAAAGGGGGCAGUUUACUGCUCUCGCUAUUAGAUGAGCCUAAGUCGGAUUAGCUAGAUGGUGGGGUAAAGGCCUACCAUGGCGACGAUCUGUAGCUGGUCUGAGAGGAUGAUCAGCCACACCGGGACUGAGACACGGCCCGGACUCCUACGGGAGGCAGCAGUGGGGAAUAUUGGACAAUGGGGGAAACCCUGAUCCAGCCAUGCCGCGUGUGUGAAGAAGGCCUUUUGGUUGUAAAGCACUUUAAGCAGUGAAGAAGACUCCGUGGUUAAUACCCACGGACGAUGACAUUAGCUGCAGAAUAAGCACCGGCUAACUCUGUGCCAGCAGCCGCGGUAAUACAGAGGGUGCAAGCGUUAAUCGGAAUUACUGGGCGUAAAGGGAGCGUAGGUGGCUCGAUAAGUCAGAUGUGAAAUCCCCGGGCUCAACCUGGGAACUGCAUCUGAUACUGUUGAGCUAGAGUAUGUGAGAGGAAGGUAGAAUUCCAGGUGUAGCGGUGAAAUGCGUAGAGAUCUGGAGGAAUACCGAUGGCGAAGGCAGCCUUCUGGCAUAAUACUGACACUGAGGCUCGAAAGCGUGGGUAGCAAACAGGAUUAGAUACCCUGGUAGUCCACGCCGUAAACGAUGUCUACUAGUCGUUGGGUCCCUUGAGGACUUAGUGACGCAGCUAACGCAAUAAGUAGACCGCCUGGGGAGUACGGCCGCAAGGUUAAAACUCAAAUGAAUUGACGGGGGCCCGCACAAGCGGUGGAGCAUGUGGUUUAAUUCGAUGCAACGCGAAGAACCUUACCUGGUCUUGACAUAUCUAGAAUCCUGCAGAGAUGCGGGAGUGCCUUCGGGAAUUAGAAUACAGGUGCUGCAUGGCUGUCGUCAGCUCGUGUCGUGAGAUGUUGGGUUAAGUCCCGCAACGAGCGCAACCCUUGUCCUUAGUUACCAGCGGGUUAAGCCGGGAACUCUAAGGAUACUGCCAGUGACAAACUGGAGGAAGGCGGGGACGACGUCAAGUCAUCAUGGCCCUUACGACCAGGGCUACACACGUGCUACAAUGGUAGGUACAGAGGGCAGCUACACAGCGAUGUGAUGCGAAUCUCAAAAAGCCUAUCGUAGUCCAGAUUGGAGUCUGCAACUCGACUCCAUGAAGUAGGAAUCGCUAGUAAUCGCGGAUCAGAAUGCCGCGGUGAAUACGUUCCCGGGCCUUGUACACACCGCCCGUCACACCAUGGGAGUUGAUUGCACCAGAAGUGGAUAGCUUAACCUUCGGGGAGGCGUUCACCACGGUGUGGUUGAUGACUGGGG